UUGGAGGGCAAGUCUGGUGCCAGCAGCCGCGGUAAUUCCAGCUCCAAUAGCGUAUAUUAAAGUUGUUGCAGUUAAAAAGCUCGUAGUUGAAUUUCGGGGUUAGUAGGUUGGUCAUGCCUCUGGUAUGUACUGAUCUCACUGAUUCCUCCUUCCUGAUGAACCGUAAUGCCAUUAAUUUGGUGUUGCGGGGAAUUUGGACUGUUACUUUGAAAAAAUUAGAGUGUUUAAAGCAGGC
Molecule: ribosomal RNA, 235 nt
Filed under: uncultured Glomeromycotina
Lineage: Eukaryota; Fungi; Glomeromycota
Description: partial 18S rRNA
Rfam family: Eukaryotic small subunit ribosomal RNA
Source: RNAcentral